UCUAAGUCUAUGCUUUGUCCUGUGUUCUCAAGUAACUUUGUUUAUGUUCCUUCGCAGACUAAAAACCUGAAUCUUGGAUUUACAUUACUGAACACUGACUUCGUAUCCGGACGUUUCCGGACGAUCAAGAAUAUCUACGUUCUGAGGACUUCGUUUCCUAACUACUGUUUCCAUCUGGAGUCAGACUAAGCUGGCAGUUUCCUGCUUCCUCCGUUUCCUGGACCAAGGCAUAAGCAUACCCUGUCCACCCUCCAACGCAAGUAUCUUCACAUUGCACUCUCUUCUGAAAUCUCCAAGCUCACUCGAACAGCACCUAAGGAAGAAUAAAUUCAGCUUUGACAACCUGGACUCCGAAUCUUUCUACCACUGGCGACUUGACCAUGCCCACUUAUUGAAGAUUCGUCCGCUCCUGUUUCCUGAUUAUUUGUGGCACAAUAAAAACAUCAUUUUACUUA
Long non-coding RNA from Girardinichthys multiradiatus, 455 nucleotides. RefSeq lists it as uncharacterized. The transcript has 2 exons. NCBI's taxonomy places the organism in Eukaryota, Metazoa, Chordata, Actinopteri, Cyprinodontiformes, Goodeidae. The record is from RefSeq and is a predicted model, not a curated record.